AAAGCUUAGCAAAACCUCCAUC
RNAcentral lists this small nuclear RNA (22 nucleotides) under Arabidopsis thaliana (thale cress). RNAcentral describes it as "snRNA_09817". The record is from RNAcentral. Lineage: Eukaryota; Viridiplantae; Streptophyta; Magnoliopsida; Brassicales; Brassicaceae.